This 76-nucleotide transfer RNA is filed under the name Candidatus Saccharimonadota bacterium. RNAcentral's name for it is "tRNA-Thr". It matches the Rfam family "tRNA". Rfam says of the family: Transfer RNA (tRNA) molecules are approximately 80 nucleotides in length. Lineage: Bacteria; Candidatus Saccharimonadota. RNAcentral also lists the same sequence under 1 other name. The record is from RNAcentral.
GCCGCUGUAGCUCAGUUGGUAGAGCGGCGCUUUCGUAAAGCGUAGGUCACCGGUUCAAGUCCGGUCAGCGGCUCCA